CCCUAGCCCUGAUAGCAGCGUAAAUCCUUUUUGAGAUUUUCCGCCGAAAAAAGAUUGCAGCGAAUAGCAGGUUCCCGG
RNAcentral lists this small RNA (78 nucleotides) under Flavobacterium noncentrifugens. RNAcentral's name for it is "Flavo-1 RNA". It matches the Rfam family "Flavo-1 RNA". Lineage: Bacteria; Pseudomonadati; Bacteroidota; Flavobacteriia; Flavobacteriales; Flavobacteriaceae. The record is from Rfam by way of RNAcentral.